Molecule: ribosomal RNA, 769 nt
Filed under: uncultured bacterium
Lineage: Bacteria
Description: bacterial SSU rRNA
Rfam family: Bacterial small subunit ribosomal RNA
Source: RNAcentral
AGGGGGUUUGGGAUCCUGGCUCAGAUUGAACGCUGGCGGCAUGCCUAACACAUGCAAGUCGAACGGUAACAGGACGCUGGGAUCCCUUCGGGGUGACCUUGUCGCUGACGAGUGGCGGACGGGUGAGUAAUGCAUAGGAAAUUGCCUUGAAGUGGGGGAUAGCCCGGAGAAAUCCGGAUUAAUACCGCAUGCGCUCUACGGAGCAAAGCAGGCCUCUGAUUUAAGCUUGCGCUUUAAGAUAUGCCUAUGUCGGAUUAGCUAGUUGGUAGGGUAAAAGCCUACCAAGGCGACGAUCCGUAGCUGGUUUGAGAGGAUGAUCAGCCACACUGGGACUGAGAUACGGCCCAGACUCCUACGGGAGGCAGCAGUGGGGAAUAUUGGACAAUGGGCGCAAGCCUGAUCCAGCAAUGCCGCGUGUGUGAAGAAGGCCUGCGGGUUGUAAAGCACUUUUAUCGGGAAAGAAAAUCUCAGGGUUAAUACCCCUGGGCCUUGACGGUACCCGAAGAAUAAGCACCGGCUAACUCAGUGCCAGCAGCCGCGGUAAUACUGAGGGUGCAAGCGUUAAUCGGAAUUACUGGGCGUAAAGCGAGUGUAGGCGGCUGCGUAAGUCGGAUGUGAAAGCCCCGGGCUCAACCUGGGAAUUGCAUUCGAUACUGCGCGGCUUGAGUCUGAUAGAGGGAAGUGGAAUUCCAGGUGUAGCGGUGAAAUGCGUAGAUAUCUGGAGGAACACCAGUGGCGAAGCGGCUUCCUGGAUCAAGACUGACGCUGA